GGGCGUGUGGUCUAGUGGUAUGAUUCUCGCUUUGGGUUUAGGCCUAUUGAAGCACUAGCGAACAGUUGGAGCUUCAAGAAAACCGAAAUACAAGCAUGCGAGAGGCCCUGGGUUCAAUUCCCAGCUCGCCCC
Molecule: transfer RNA, 132 nt
Filed under: Yamadazyma tenuis ATCC 10573
Lineage: Eukaryota; Fungi; Ascomycota; Pichiomycetes; Serinales; Debaryomycetaceae
Also listed under: 1 other name
Description: Candida tenuis ATCC 10573 tRNA
Rfam family: tRNA
About the family: Transfer RNA (tRNA) molecules are approximately 80 nucleotides in length. Their secondary structure includes four short double-helical elements and three loops (D, anti-codon, and T loops).
Source: Rfam by way of RNAcentral